This 233-nucleotide ribosomal RNA is filed under the name uncultured bacterium. RNAcentral's name for it is "partial 16S ribosomal RNA". It matches the Rfam family "Bacterial small subunit ribosomal RNA", at positions 335 to 582 of the family's 1533-position model. The record is from RNAcentral.
AAGCCUACGGGAGGCAGCAGUGGGGAAUAUUGGGCAAUGGGCGCAAGCCUGACUCAGCAACGCCGCGUGAAGGAAGAAGGCUUUCGUGUUGUAAACUUCUUUUCUCAGGGACGAAGCAAGUGACGGUACCUGAGGAAUAAGCCACGGCUAACUACGUGCCAGCAGCCGCGGUAAUACGUAGGUGGCAAGCGUUAUCCGGAUUUACUGGGUGUAAAGUGCGUGUAGGCGGGACU